AACGAACGCUGGCGGCAUGCCUAACACAUGCAAGUCGAACGAAGGCUUCGGCCUUAGUGGCGCACGGGUGCGUAACGCGUGGGAAUCUGCCCUUUGGUUCGGAAUAACAGCUGGAAACGGCUGCUAAUACCGGAUGAUGACGAAAGUCCAAAGAUUUAUCGCCAGAGGAUGAGCCCGCGUUGGAUUAGGUAGUUGGUGGGGUAAAGGCCUACCAAGCCGACGAUCCAUAGCUGGUCUGAGAGGAUGAUCAGCCACACUGGGACUGAGACACGGCCCAGACUCCUACGGGAGGCAGCAGUGGGGAAUAUUGGACAAUGGGCGCAAGCCUGAUCCAGCAAUGCCGCGUGAGUGAUGAAGGCCCUAGGGUUGUAAAGCUCUUUUACACGGGAAGAUAAUGACUGUACCGGGAGAAUAAGCCCCGGCUAACUCCGUG
RNAcentral lists this ribosomal RNA (433 nucleotides) under uncultured bacterium. Its description in RNAcentral is "partial 16S ribosomal RNA". It matches the Rfam family "Bacterial small subunit ribosomal RNA", at positions 29 to 507 of the family's 1533-position model. The record is from RNAcentral.